RNAcentral lists this ribosomal RNA (541 nucleotides) under Trigonopterus sp. 628 MB-2015. Its description in RNAcentral is "partial 16S ribosomal RNA". The record is from RNAcentral. Lineage: Eukaryota; Metazoa; Arthropoda; Insecta; Coleoptera; Curculionidae.
ACCUGGCUCACACCGGUUUAAACUCAGAUCAUGUAAAAUUUCAAAGGUCGAACAGACCUAAUUUACUAGCUUCUACACCAAUAAUUUAUUUUAAUCCAACAUCGAGGUCGCAAUCUUUUUCUUCGAUAAGAACUCUAAAAAAAAUAACGCUGUUAUCCCUAAGGUAAUUUCAUCUUAUAAUCUUAUUCCAGGAUCAUAUAUUCAUAAAUAAAUGAUUUAAUAAAAAAAAAGUUUAUCCAAUUUUUUUAUCACCCCAACAAAAUAUUCUUUAUAUUACAACAUACUUUAAUUCUUAAUUUCGUUUAAUAAAAAAAAUAUUAAACUCUAUAGGGUCUUCUCGUCUUCUAUAAAUAUCUAAGCUUUUUAACUUAAAAAUAAAAUUCAAAUAAAUUCUUACAGAGACAGAAUCCUCCUCAUCAAACCUUUCAUUCCAGCUUUCAAUUAAAAAACUAAUGAUUAUGCUACCUUUGCACGGUCAAUGUACCGCGGCCAUUUAACUACUCAUUGGGCAGGUCAGACUUAAAAUUAUUAUCAAUAAGCC